GACGAACGCUGGCGGCGUGCUUAACACGUGCAAGUCGAACGGAAAGGCCCUGCUUUUGUGGGGUGCUCGAGUGGCGAACGGGUGAGUAACACGUGAGUAACCUGCCCUUGACUUUGGGAUAACUUCAGGAAACUGGUGCUAAUACCGGAUAGGAGCUCCUGCUGCAUGGUGGGGGUUGGAAAGUUUCGGCGGUUGGGGAUGGACUCGCGGCUUAUCAGCUUGUUGGUGGGGUAGUGGCUUACCAAGGCUUUGACGGGUAGCCGGCCUGAGAGGGUGACCGGCCACAUUGGGACUGAGAUACGGCCCAGACUCCUACGGGAGGCAGCAGUGGGGAAUAUUGCACAAUGGGCGGAAGCCUGAUGCAGCAACGCCGCGUGCGGGAUGACGGCCUUCGGGUUGUAAACCGCUUUCGCCUGUGACGAAGCGUGAGUGACGGUAAUGGGUAAAGAAGCACCGGCUAACUACGUG
RNAcentral lists this ribosomal RNA (468 nucleotides) under uncultured bacterium. Its description in RNAcentral is "partial 16S ribosomal RNA". It matches the Rfam family "Bacterial small subunit ribosomal RNA", at positions 28 to 507 of the family's 1533-position model. The record is from RNAcentral.